This 66-nucleotide transfer RNA is filed under the name Ictidomys tridecemlineatus (thirteen-lined ground squirrel). RNAcentral describes it as "Spermophilus tridecemlineatus (thirteen-lined ground squirrel) tRNA". It matches the Rfam family "tRNA". From Rfam's summary of the family: Transfer RNA (tRNA) molecules are approximately 80 nucleotides in length. Their secondary structure includes four short double-helical elements and three loops (D, anti-codon, and T loops). Further hydrogen bonds mediate the characteristic L-shaped molecular structure. tRNAs have two regions of fundamental functional importance: the anti-codon, which is responsible for specific mRNA codon recognition, and the 3' end, to which the tRNAs corresponding amino acid is attached (by aminoacyl-tRNA synthetases). tRNAs cope with the degeneracy of the genetic code in two manners: having more than one tRNA (with a specific anti-codon) for a particular amino acid; and 'wobble' base-pairing, i.e. permitting non-standard base-pairing at the 3rd anti-codon position. The record is from Rfam by way of RNAcentral. Lineage: Eukaryota; Metazoa; Chordata; Mammalia; Rodentia; Sciuridae.
GUGUAGCUCAAUAGUAAAGUGUGUGGUUGGCAUGCACAAGGUCCUGGGUUCUAUCCCCAGUACACA